RNAcentral lists this ribosomal RNA (1287 nucleotides) under Triticum aestivum (bread wheat). RNAcentral's name for it is "partial small subunit ribosomal RNA". Lineage: Eukaryota; Viridiplantae; Streptophyta; Magnoliopsida; Poales; Poaceae. The record is from RNAcentral.
AUGCCGAAGGCCGGCGGCGGGGACGAGGAGGAGUUCCGCGCCGAGGUGGAGGAGCGGCUGAUCAACGAGGAGUACAAGAUCUGGAAGAAGAACACGCCCUUCCUCUACGACCUCGUCAUCACCCACGCGCUCGAAUGGCCCUCGCUCACCGUGCAGUGGCUCCCCGACCGCACCGAGCCCGCCGGCAAGGACCACUCCGUGCAGAAGAUGGUGCUCGGCACCCACACCUCCGACAACGAGCCCAACUACCUCAUGCUCGCCCAGGUCCAGCUCCCCCUCGACGACGCCGAGGCCGACGCGCGCCACUACGACGACGACCACGCCGACAUCGGCGGCUUCGGGGCCGCAUCCGGCAAGGUGCAAAUAGUUCAACAGAUAAAUCAUGAUGGAGAAGUUAAUCGGGCUCGAUAUAUGCCCCAAAAUUCUUUUAUUAUUGCUACCAAGACAGUCAGUGCAGAGGUGUAUGUCUUUGAUUAUAGCAAGCACCCAUCAAAGCCUCCACUAGAUGGUGCGUGCAAUCCUGAUUUACGGCUGAAGGGACACAACUCUGAAGGAUAUGGCCUGUCCUGGAGUAUCUUUAAAGAGGGUCAUUUGCUGAGUGGAUCGGAUGAUGCUCAAAUUUGCUUAUGGGACAUCACAGCAAAUGGUAAAAAUAAAACUCUCGACGCAUACCAGAUUUUUAAGUUUCAUGAUGGCGUCGUUGAAGAUGUUGCUUGGCAUUUGAGGCAUGAAUACUUAUUCGGCUCAGUUGGUGAUGAUCAUCAUCUCCUAAUUUGGGAUAUGCGUAGUCCUGCACCUACCAAGCCUGUACAGUCUGUGGUGGCACACCAGGGUGAGGUGAAUUGCCUGGCUUUCAAUCCUUUCAAUGAAUGGGUUGUUGCAACUGGUUCAACCGACAAGACUGUCAAAUUAUUUGAUCUUCGGAAGAUUGAUACUUCGCUGCACACUUUUGAUUGUCACAAAGAGGAAGUAUUUCAAGUUGGAUGGAGCCCAAAGAAUGAAACUAUACUUGCAUCUUGUUGUCUGGGAAGGAGGCUGAUGGUUUGGGAUCUAAGCAGAAUUGAUCAGGAGCAAACACCAGAGGACGCGGAGGACGGCCCUCCUGAGCUCUUGUUCAUUCAUGGAGGCCACACAAGCAAAAUCUCAGACUUCUCCUGGAACCCGUGUGAGGACUGGGUGCUUGCAAGCGUUGCUGAAGACAACAUCCUUCAGAUAUGGCAGAUGGCGGAGAACAUCUACCAUGAUGAGGAUGAUCUUCCCAGCGAUGAGCCGGCAAAGGCUUCAUGA